UGCAAGUCGAACGAUUAAAGCUCUCUUCGGAGAGUGCAUAGAGUGGCGCACGGGUGAGUAACACGUAAGUAAUCUACCUUCGAGUGGGGAAUAACGUUCGGAAACGGACGCUAAUACCGCAUAAUGCAGCGGCAUCGCGAGAUGACAGUUGUUAAAGGAGCAAUUCGCUUGAAGAGGAGCUUGCGGCAGAUUAGCUAGUUGGUAAGGUAAUGGCUUACCAAGGCUACGAUCUGUAUCCGGUCUAAGAGGACGGUCGGACACACUGACACUGAAUAACGGGUCAGACUCCUACGGGAGGCAGCAGUCGGGGAUUUUGGGCAAUGGGGGAAACCCUGACCCAGCAACGCCGCGUGAAGGAUGAAGUUUUUCGGAAUGUAAACUUCGAAAGAAUAGGAAGAAUCAAUGACGGUACUAUUUAUAAGGUCCGGCUAACUACGUGCCAGCAGCCGCGGUAAUACGUAGGGACCAAGCGUUGUUCGGAUUUACUGGGCGUAAAGGGCGCGUAGGCGGCGUGGUAAGUCACUUGUGAAAUCUCUGAGCUCAACUCAGAACGGCCAAGUGAUACUGCUGUGCUAGAGUGCAGAAGGGGCAAUCGGAAUUCUUGGUGUAGCGGUGAAAUGCGUAGAUAUCAAGAGGAACACCUGAGGUGAAGACGGGUUGCUGGGCUGACACUGACGCUGAGGCGCGAAAGCCAGGGGAGCAAACGGGAUUAGAUACCCCGGUAGUCCUGGCCCUAAACGAUGAAUACUUGGUGUCUGGAGUUUUUAGUGCUCCGGGUGCCGUCGCUAACGUUUUAAGUAUUCCGCCUGGGGAGUACGCACGCAAGUGUGAAACUCAAAGGAAUUGACGGGGACCCGCACAAGCGGUGGAGCAUGUGGUUUAAUUCG
RNAcentral lists this ribosomal RNA (887 nucleotides) under uncultured soil bacterium. RNAcentral's name for it is "bacterial SSU rRNA". It matches the Rfam family "Bacterial small subunit ribosomal RNA", at positions 56 to 953 of the family's 1533-position model. The record is from RNAcentral.